Anastrepha obliqua is the source of this 682-nucleotide long non-coding RNA. RefSeq lists it as uncharacterized. The record is from RefSeq and is a predicted model, not a curated record. NCBI's taxonomy places the organism in Eukaryota, Metazoa, Arthropoda, Insecta, Diptera, Tephritidae. The transcript is spliced from 3 exons.
GGUAACUUCGCUAGAGUAGCUGAUUUUUUUCAUUGUUUGAAUUUCAAAGAAUAGUAUGUCUUUGUUAUUGCGCUAAUUGUUAGUUUACAUUGACACAAGGCGAAUUUAUUAUAGGUGACAGCAACCGCAUAUAAGUAAAAGUACAUGUAUUUGUUCUUGCGUUUGGUCCAAGCAUCACGUCAAAAUCAGCUGUUCAUUUGCAGUGUGGUUUGCUUGUGAAACGUACGCUGGAAAUAGUCACAAAAUAAAAAGUCGCUACAUUUCCCACAGUUCAUUGAAGAUUUCGUAUGUAGCUUAUGUGCAAGAUGGAUUUAUUAUGUGUGAGUUAAUUUGCCACGAACAUGCAUAAGGUGAAAUUAAAUGUAGAGAGUGAAGUUUGGACGCAGUAGAGUUUAAAAUAGAGAAACAUAACGCAAAAAAACUUCGAAACAAGGGCAAAAUUAAAGUCUCACUGCGUACAGAAAGUAAUGAUAUUGAUGGCUAUCAGAAAUCCACCUUGGCUGCUAAUGACUAUGAUGACUUCAUUCUAAAUACUGUUGAGAUGCGCAUACCACAUUGCAUAAAAAAGUUUGCUUCAUGUUUUUUGUGGAAAAUCGAUCGCGAUUCCGGAUAACAAAUUUGUAACAUGCUUGUGAAUUCAUUUUAUAUAAUUCAACUUUAUUGAUUUUAUAGCCUGUAUUUU